RNAcentral lists this ribosomal RNA (473 nucleotides) under uncultured bacterium. RNAcentral describes it as "SSU rRNA". It matches the Rfam family "Bacterial small subunit ribosomal RNA", at positions 26 to 518 of the family's 1533-position model. The record is from RNAcentral.
AGGACGAACGCUGGCGGCGUGCUUAACACAUGCAAGUCGAGCGGAAAGGCCCUUCGGGGUACUCGAGCGGCGAACGGGUGAGUAACACGUGAGUAACCUGCCCCUAGCUCUGGGAUAGCUCCGGGAAACCGGGAUUAAUACCAGAUACGACCACUUUAGACAUCUGUCGUGGUGGAAAGGAUUCCGGCUAGGGAUGGGCUCGCGGCCUAUCAGCUUGUUGGUGGGGUAACGGCCUACCAAGGCGACGACGGGUAGCCGGCCUGAGAGGGCGACCGGCCACACUGGGACUGAGACACGGCCCAGACUCCUACGGGAGGCAGCAGUGGGGAUAUUGCGCAAUGGGCGAAAGCCUGACGCAGCGACGCCGCGUGGGGGAUGAAGGCCUUCGGGUUGUAAACCCCUUUCAGCAGGGACGAAGCGAAAGUGACGGUACCUGCAGAAGAAGCGCCGGCUAACUACGCGCCAGCAGCCGC